RNAcentral lists this long non-coding RNA (482 nucleotides) under Olea europaea subsp. europaea. Lineage: Eukaryota; Viridiplantae; Streptophyta; Magnoliopsida; Lamiales; Oleaceae. The record is from RNAcentral.
GCCAUAUUCAUGACCCUUGUACCACUCUCAGUUGACUAUAUUAAUGUGCAACGAUAAGUUGCUCAUCAGACGGUGAACCUCAGGAAGUGCAAUCAACUCGUCUGUCUCUAAAUCAAGGAUUCCCAUCCACAGUGUGGCACCCGCAGCAUCAACAGAAACUAGGUGGUCGCAGAUUACAGUCUACAGGAGCACAAGAGGAGGCCUAUGAAUUAGAAGUUCCUGUCACCGGGGGGCAGAAACUAUUUUCCCCUAUCAGUAGAUAUUUGUAGGUAAGAAAAGCACUCUUUCGAGUAAAUUUAGUCAAUAGUUCAUUUCAUCAAAAUAAUUUUCAAAAUGCCUAGGUAAGUCGACAAGUCAAAGAAUGUGCAGCCCAACAUCUUACCGGAUGAAUGCGAAGAACAUGCAGCCAGAUCGAAUGGGUAUGACCAAAGCCUCUGUUCACAAAUUGUCUCAAGGAAAACUUGGUUCUCCUACCAUACCAG